GAUGAAGAACGUAGCGAAAUGCGAUAAGUAAUGUGAAUUGCAGAAUUCAGUGAAUCAUCGAAUCUUUGAGCGCACAUUGCGCCCGUCAGUAUUCUGGCGGGCAUGCCUGUUCGAGCGUCAUUACGCCCCUCAAGUCCCCUGUGGACUUGGUGUUGGGGAUCGGCGAGGCUGGUUUUCCAGCACAGCCGUCCCUUAAAUUAAUUGGCGGUCUCGCCGUGGCCCUCCUCUGCGCAGUAGUAAAACACUCGCAACAGGAGCCCGGCGCGGUCCACUGCCGUAAAACCCCCCAACUUUUUAUAGUUGACCUCGAAUCAGGUAGGACUACCCGCUGAACUUAAGCAUAUCAAUAAGCGGAGGA
Molecule: unclassified non-coding RNA, 358 nt
Filed under: soil metagenome
Description: partial contains 5.8S ribosomal RNA, internal transcribed spacer 2, and large subunit ribosomal RNA
Rfam family: 5.8S ribosomal RNA (bases 1-120)
Source: RNAcentral